AGAAGCAAAUCCUCACCUAAACUUCAAUCCUUGAUAACUUUUGAUCCGGAUCUCCGAUCGCUGCACCGUUUGCGGCCAUGCAUCCUCAGCGUUGAACUCUACAAGGCGCAAUACCUUUCAAGGAUCAAAUUGAGUUGAGGAAUGAGCGGGCUUUGGUUUGAUUGAGGCACAUACAAGAUGCAGGUCAAGAGGCUCCUCGCUAGACGUCUGGAUUCCUGAAGCGAAGUAGUCCCUGAGAUAUUUUGGGUUUAUGUUUGUAUAUAU
Arachis duranensis is the source of this 264-nucleotide long non-coding RNA. RefSeq lists it as uncharacterized. The transcript is spliced from 3 exons. NCBI's taxonomy places the organism in Eukaryota, Viridiplantae, Streptophyta, Magnoliopsida, Fabales, Fabaceae. The record is from RefSeq and is a predicted model, not a curated record.